RNAcentral lists this ribosomal RNA (429 nucleotides) under Chloroflexota bacterium. RNAcentral describes it as "Chloroflexi bacterium partial 16S ribosomal RNA". It matches the Rfam family "Bacterial small subunit ribosomal RNA", at positions 355 to 776 of the family's 1533-position model. The record is from RNAcentral. Lineage: Bacteria; Bacillati; Chloroflexota.
UGGGGAAUAUUGCACAAUGGGCGCAAGCCUGAUGCAGCCAUGCCGCGUGUGUGAAGAAGGCCUUCGGGUUGUAAAGCACUUUCAGCGGGGAGGAAGGCGGUGAGGUUAAUAACCUCACCGAUUGACGUUACCCGCAGAAGAAGCACCGGCUAACUCCGUGCCAGCAGCCGCGGUAAUACGGAGGGUGCAAGCGUUAAUCGGAAUUACUGGGCGUAAAGCGCACGCAGGCGGUCUGUCAAGUCGGAUGUGAAAUCCCCGGGCUCAACCUGGGAACUGCAUUCGAAACUGGCAGGCUAGAGUCUUGUAGAGGGGGGUAGAAUUACAGGUGUAGCGGUGAAAUGCGUAGAGAUCUGGAGGAAUACCGGUGGCGAAGGCGGCCCCCUGGACAAAGACUGACGCUCAGGUGCGAAAGCGUGGGGAGCAAACAGG